ACCAGUUGCAACGAAGUGAUAGUGAUGA
Molecule: non-coding RNA, 28 nt
Filed under: Bombyx mori (domestic silkworm)
Lineage: Eukaryota; Metazoa; Arthropoda; Insecta; Lepidoptera; Bombycidae
Source: RNAcentral